AACGAACGCUGGCGGCAGGCCUAACACAUGCAAGUCGAGCGCACCCUUCGGGGUCAGCGGCGGACGGGUGAGUAACGCGUGGGAACGUUCCCUUCUCUGCGGAAUAGCCUCGGGAAACUGAGAGUAAUACCGCAUACGCCCUUUGGGGGAAUGAUUUAUCGGAAAAGGAUCGGCCCGCGUGGGAUUAGGUAGUUGGUGGGGUAAUGGCCCACCAAGCCGACGAUCCAUAGCUGGUGUGAGAGGAUGAUCAGCCACACUGGGACUGAGACACGGCGCAGACUCCUACGGGAGGCAGCAGUGGGGAAUCUUAGACAAUGGGGGCAACCCUGAUCUAGCCAUGCCGCGUGAGUGAUGAAGGCCUUAGGGUUGUAAAGCUCUUUCAGCUGGGAAGAUAAUGACGGUACCAGCAGAAGAAGCCCCGGCUAACUCCGUG
This 433-nucleotide ribosomal RNA is filed under the name uncultured bacterium. Its description in RNAcentral is "partial 16S ribosomal RNA". It matches the Rfam family "Bacterial small subunit ribosomal RNA", at positions 29 to 507 of the family's 1533-position model. The record is from RNAcentral.